RNAcentral lists this ribosomal RNA (402 nucleotides) under uncultured bacterium. Its description in RNAcentral is "bacterial SSU rRNA". It matches the Rfam family "Bacterial small subunit ribosomal RNA", at positions 29 to 416 of the family's 1533-position model. The record is from RNAcentral.
AAUCAACGCUGGCGGCGUGCCUAACACAUGCAAGUCGAACGCGAAAGCCCCUUCGGGGGCAAGUAGAGUGGCGUCCGGGUGAGUAACACGUGGGUAAUCUACCUCCGGGUGGGGAAUAACUCGCCGAAAGGUGGGCUAAUACCGCAUAAUGCAGCGGCACCGAAUGGUGAUUAGUUGUUAAAGCGGGGGACCUUAGGGCCUCGCGUCUGGAGAGGAGCCUGCGGCAGAUUAGCUUGUUGGUAGGGAAUGGCCUACCAAGGCUGCGAUCUGUAGCUGGUCUGAGAGGACGGACGGCCACACUGGGACUGAGACACGGCCCAGACUCCUACGGGAGGCAGCAGUGGGGAAUUUUCGCAAUGGGCGAAAGCCUGACGAAGCAACGCCGCGUGGAGGAUGAAGGCC